GCUUCCCAUUUUAGUGUAGGAAGCACUUUAAUGUUCAAGCAUUUUGUCUUUUCAAACUACGGAGUGAAAUUACCAUCGAUAAUGGCUUUCACAGAAAUGAGCAGAUAUUUUCUAUGAAUUUGGAUUUAUAGUCAAUGAACAACUCAUUUUUUCAACCAUCUCAACUCUCAUUUUUUAUAUUAGGAUUUUCCCCAUUCUUUGAAAGAUGAAAGCACUGACGAAAAGUCCACCUCAAUAGGCAUAGGAAUUACUGUGGGAAUGAAACAGACACCCGAGAUCCCUCAGACCCAGUCCUGGUUUGGAUCCAACUGAUACAGGUGUCUGGAGUCUCCUGUUCAUCAGUAGAUAACACUGGAUGAGGGGCAGAUGAAAACCAAACAGCUGAUCCAUUGUCUAAUUGGACCCAUAAGCGUUCUCCCACUUCUGUUCCAGAGCCAUGCCGCUCCAUGAGAGAGAAGUGUGACAGAGGCUGGUGAUGUGAGAGUCUUCUGUGACUGUCUUUCUUGUCCCUACACAACAGAGAAGAGAGAAGGAGGAGCAGCCUCCUUGAGUUUUCAGAGCUGAAAUCUCAGUGGCCAGUGCUGAGGCACACAGACCCCUGCCCCACCCCAUCCACAUUCCACCAAGCUCCCCCAGCCUGGUUUGAAUCAGCAAGCAUUGUGCUUCUCUGAGGAAACAGCCACAGUAAUAUAAAGACACCUUUGUCUUAAGACAAAGCAGAUUGCCACAAAUAGAG
Long non-coding RNA from Heterocephalus glaber (naked mole-rat), 736 nucleotides. Lineage: Eukaryota; Metazoa; Chordata; Mammalia; Rodentia; Bathyergidae. The record is from Ensembl.